Molecule: RNA transcript, 5161 nt
Organism: Rhinopithecus roxellana (golden snub-nosed monkey)
Lineage: Eukaryota; Metazoa; Chordata; Mammalia; Primates; Cercopithecidae
Gene: SIRPB1
Gene name: signal regulatory protein beta 1
Exons: 9
Source: RefSeq, a predicted model, not a curated record
ACUGUUAAAAGUGAAGGCCAUGGAGUGUGACAACCUGUGUUCUAGUUCUAAAAGCUGGGUGAUGUUGAACAAAUUUAUUAUUGCCUGUGUGCCUCGAGUUUCCUCACCUGUAAAAAAGAGCAGAGUCUGCGAUCUUCUCAGCACAGACGUUUGGACAGAGCAGGCUCUUAAGUUCUCCAGAAUGCCUGUCCCAGCCUCCUGGUCCCACCUUCCUGGUCCUUUCCUGCUGAUGACACUACUGCUGGGGGCACUCACAGGAGUGUUGGGUGAGGAGGAGCUGCAGGUGAUUCAGCCUAAGAAGUCCGUGUUGGUUGCAGCUGGAGAUUCGGCCACUCUGAACUGCACUGUGACCUCCCUGAUCCCUGUGGGGCCCAUCCAGUGGUUCAGAGGAGCUGGACCAGGCCGGGAAUUAAUCUACCACCAGAAAGAAGGCCACUUCCCCCGGGUAACAGCUGUUUCAGACCCCACAAAGAGAAACAACAUGGACUUUUCCAUCCGCAUCAGUAACAUCACCCCAGCAGAUGCUGGCACCUACUACUGUGUGAAGUUCCGGAAAGGGAGCCCCUAUGUGGAGUUGAAGUCUGGAGCAGGCACUGAGCUGUCUGUGCGUGGAGUGGUGGGUGAGGAGGAGCUGCAGGUGAUUCAGCCUAAGAAGUCCGUAUCAGUUGCAGCUGGAGAGUCGGCCACUCUGAACUGCACUGUGACCUCCCUGAUCCCUGUGGGUCCCAUCCAGUGGUUCAGAGGAGCUGGACCAGGCCGGGAAGUAAUCUACCAUCAGAAAGAAGGCCACUUCCCCCGGGUAACAACUGUUUUAGACCCCACAAAGAGAAACAACAUGGACUUUUCCAUUCGCAUCAGUAACAUCACCCCAGCAGAUGCCGGCACCUACUACUGUGUGAAGUUCCGGAAAGGGAGCCCCGAUGUGGAGUUGAAGUCUGGAGCAGGCACUGAGCUGUCUGUGCGUGGAGUGUUGGGUGAGGAGGAGCUGCAGGUGAUUCAGCCUGAGAAGUCCGUGUCAGUCGCAGCUGGAGAUUCGGCCACUCUGAACUGCACUAUGACCUCCCUGAUCCCUGUGGGGCCCACCCAGUGGUUCAGAGGAGCUGGACCAGGCCGGGAAUUAAUCUACAGUCAGAAAGAAGGCCACUUCCCCCGGGUAACAGCUGUUUCAGACCCCACAAAGAGAAGCAACAUGGACUUUUCCAUCCGCAUCAGUAACAUCACCCCAGCAGAUGCCGGCACCUACUACUGUGUGAAGUUCCGGAAAGGGAGCCCCGACGUGGAGUUGAAGUCUGGAGCAGGCACUGAGCUGUCUGUGCGUGCCAAACCCUCUGCCCCCGUGGUAUCGGGCCCCACAGCGAGGGCCACAGCUGAGCACACAGUGAGCUUUACCUGCGAGUCCCACGGCUUCUCCCCCAAAGACAUCACCCUGAAAUGGUUCAAAAAUGGGAAUGAGCUCUCAGACUUCCAGACCAAAGUGGACCCCGCAGGAGAGAGCGUGUCCUACAGCAUCCGCAGCACAGCCAGGGUGGUGCUGACCCGCGGGGACGUUCGCUCUCAAGUCAUCUGCGAGGUGGCCCAUGUCACCUUGCAGGGGGACCCUCUUCGUGGGACUGCCAACUUGUCUGAGGCCAUCCGAGUUCGACCCACCUUGGAGGUUGCUCAACAGCCCAUGAGGGCAGAGAACCAGACGAACGUCACCUGCCAAGUGAGGAAGUUCUACCCCCAGAGACUGCAGCUGACCUGGUUGGAGAAUGGAAAUGUGUCCCGGACAGAAAUAGCUUCGACCCUCAUAGAAAACAAGGAUGGUACCUACAACUGGAUGAGCUGGCUCCUGGUGAACACCUGUGCCCACAGGAAUGGUGUGGUGCUCACCUGCCAGGUGGAACAUGAUGGGCAGCCAGCGGUUAGCAAAAGCCAUACCCUGGAGGUCUCAGCCCACCAGAAAGAACAGUGCUCAGAUACCACUUCUGGCUCCAGGAGAUAACAAUCUACACUGCUGCCAAGAAGUCCUCUGGUUUUCACACUGGGCCUUAAUUCAUGAUAAGUUACUUUUAGCUUUUCAUCAUCUUUCCCCAAAGAACUGAUGCCCAGCAACAGCCAUCAAACAUCUUAGUCCUCAUAACUACCAUUUCCCAAUCCAGUUUCAAACGGCUGAUGCCAAGGAAUUUCUUCCGACUUCACUGCCAGCGAAAGUUGUAUUAAUUGCACCAUAGCUGCAAGCCAGGGCCAGCCCAGCUCCACUCACUACCAGCCCUGGGGUCCUCAUUGCCAGCUAAUCUUGAUGAGUGGUCAGUUUCCAAACUUACAUUUUAGAGUCUACUUUUCAGACCAUUUCCACUGUCAGUUUUGCUAGGAGGUCAACUGGAGGUGGAUACAGGAAUUCAGGAAGCACGUUAGAGAGCUGUCAGGGUCAAUAUGCCUGAGGGAGUAGGGCAGAAGUGUAGGAAAGGGACGUGCUGAGCCACAGUGCAGGCAGGACAAAGACCCAGCUGUUUCUUCAAAGAAGCCAAGGGCUGAGAGAGUCCCUUAGAGUUGUGUUAAUUGAGGAGAGCGGCGUGGACUUCCUAUUUUCAAUUCAGCCAAUCUUUCUAUGGGCUGCUCCAUAGAAGGAGGAGUGAACUUGGAGAGUGCAACUCUCCUCAAGGGAGACAAAGUUCCAGAGAGCCACCCAGCUGAGAACUGCCGGCCUCCAACAUUCCAGCCACAGAUGCUGAGAUCUCCAUUCCUUCCUUAAGGACCCACCAGCACCAUUUUAUUUCCCAGAAAACAUACAUGAAAACAGAAGUAAACAUAACUUCAUUUGUUUGCUUUUAACAGCAAAAAAAUGCUCAUUGUAAAAAUGCAAAGAAUCCAAAUGUGUGCUCCCCCAGACCUGACUGUCUGUCCAACAGAGAGAUUUCAGAUGGCACCCGCUCUGGGGUCGAGGAGAGCUUGAUGUCUGAGUCCCUUCCAAGCAUGAGAGUCAUGCUUUGACUUACCAGGGUGUUUUCUAUCCAACACAGUAUAUUAGGCCCAGCCCCUCAAGGGCCUCCCCAGCUCUCAAAAACACGGGGUCCCCCCUCACUGCUGGGGCUAAACAGGGCAGCCUGCAAAUCUUUCACUUUGAAGCCAUCCUCAUAUAAACAAAAAGCAUGUUAGUUGCUUGCUGCAUGUAGAAUCCAAUCAAGGAGAGUGAGGUCUGAUACAAAAAAAAGUGAAUUUAUUCCAAAGCUAGGCUGGGGAAAGGGCACAAAGUGUCCUGCCUUUAAAUGUGCCACUUCCCCUUUGGAGCAGAAAGCAGACACUUUCAUAAGGUAAUGGGGAUGGGACCAAGGGCAGGGGUCCCUCUGCUAGUGCCUGGUGACUUAGCUACCCGACAGUUGAGUUGGCGCCAUCCUGGGCAGAAGUCAGUUGUAAAAGUGGCCAAGGGGGCAUGCUUUCCAUAUGCCCUCUUGGUGGAUGAAAGUCUGGAAGCUACCCCUGGAGGUGAAGUUUCCGUGGUGGGUAUGCUUUGGUGUGCCAACUUGCCAGGAGAGAUCUGUCUUGGAGCACACAAAAGAACUUGCCCUGCAGGGAAUAUCUGGUGAGGGGUAGGUGAAAGGUUAUAUUUGCAUUUCUGAAGGGCUAAUUAGGAAACUGGGAGCAGGGGGAAACGGGAAAGAAAACAAAGAGAAAAUAAACUACCUCUUAGCAAACUGGGGGUACUCGGUUAUACUCAUGACCCCUACCUGCCCUUUCAUAAUUGUUCCUAUGACCCUGCAAAAUUGGACUUGUCUUGUUCAAAAGGACACAGUCUCAGGAAUCAUCCUAAGGGACCUAAUGAUGGGCUUCCAUAAGUUUGGAUGCAAGUAACCUUGUGACCCUCCCUAAAUUUUCUGAACCUAAUCUCCCCAUCAGAAUGGAAUAAUAAACCCUGCCCUACAGGCUUGUGAGGAUCAAGUGAGGGACUCAGGUGCCACACAUAUGAAUACGUGAGUACACAUUCUGUCCAUUUUGUCCCUCCGGGAGGACAGCCUGGCAGCCUGGGACAGGGUAAGGGAAUGAGGAACCUCUUUCCCUGGCUUCUGCCUUAUGUUGCAGCUAAGGCAGCCAGGGUAAGAUGCAGUUUCCAAAGAUUUGGAGCAGUGACAGUCCCAGGUAGCCUCAGAUGGGGUAAGUGGGGUCCUCUGGGAUGGCAUCCUGGGUAGCCCCUUCCUAACUUCUGUCUCCUGAUUACCAGGCCCAGUACUGGCUCCCACUGCUCCACUUCUCAUAGCUCUCCUCCUGGGCCCCAAGGUGCUGCUGGUGGUUGGUGUCUCUGUCAUCUAUGUCUACUGGAAGCAGAAGGACUGACUCUCCUUCCCUCCUCCCCUGCCUCAUGGGAGCCCCAGUCUCUGCCGCCUCCUUCCUUCCUUGAAGGGCUCUGACUGAAGAAGGGGCUGGUGAGAAGCUUCCUCAGACUCAGCUCCAAAUGCCUCCCCUCCCAGGACAUCUUCCUGCCCACAGGUUCCUGUUGCUCCUUUGCAGAGUCCUUGAUUCUCCAGAGCAGUCUUCAUUCAUGGUCCUGAGCAGAGGCCAUGGGAUGGGGCUCUGGGGAGUGACUCAUGACACCUCCCUAGGAUGUGGGAAACACGCCAAAUCUAAACCCAUCAGGACACCUCUCCUCCAUCAUCUUGGACUGUCCAUAAGCCACAAACUGCAGUUCAGAUUCUCAAGAGUUAUUCUACCUUCUGGAUUCCUGCCUACCCAAUUACCCAGCCUUGUUGAGAUUCUCUAUUGCCUGCUGAAUACAAAUUAACACUCAUCCUGGUUUUAAGGAGAAAAAAUGAUUCUCCUUCCUCUUUGUUUAAACAUAUGAUAUAGUUUGGAUAUUUUUCCCCUACAAAUCUCAAUGUGAAAUUUCAUCCCCUACGUGGGAGGUGGGGUCAGGUGGGAGGUGUUUGGGUCAUGGGGAUGGAUUCAUCAUGAAUGACUUGGUGCUAUUUUGGUCUAUUAGUACCCACAAGAUCUGAUUGUUUAUAAGUGCCUAGCAGCUCCCUCUUCUCUCUUUCUCUUCCUCUCUCCCCAUGUUAUGCCAACUCCACUUCACUGUCCACUGUGAGUAGAAGCACUCUGAGGCCCUCCUCAGCAGCAGAUGCAAGUACCAUGCUUCUUGUACAGUCUGCAGAACCAAAAGCCAAAUAAACCUCUUCUUUAUAAAUUA